RNAcentral lists this ribosomal RNA (842 nucleotides) under uncultured archaeon. RNAcentral describes it as "bacterial SSU rRNA". It matches the Rfam family "Archaeal small subunit ribosomal RNA", at positions 53 to 901 of the family's 1478-position model. The record is from RNAcentral.
GCGAGUCAUUGUAGCAAUACAAGGCAGACGGCUCAGUAACGCGUAGUCAAUCUACCCUAUGGACGGGAAUAACCUCGGGAAACUGAGAAUAAUGCCCGACAGAACAUUAUACCUGGAACGGUUUAUGUUUCAAAUGAUUUAUCGCCGUAGGAUGGGACUGCGGCCUAUCAGUUUGUUGGUGAGGUAAUGGCCCACCAAGACUAUUACAGGUACGGGCUCUGAGAGGAGUAGCCCGGAGAUGGGUACUGAGACACGGACCCAGGCCCUAUGGGGCGCAGCAGGCGAGAAAACUUUGCAAUGUGCGAAAGCACGACAAGGUUAAUCCGAGUGGUUUCUGCUAAAGAAACCUUUUGCUAGUCCUAGAAACACUAGUGAAUAAGGGGUGGGCAAGUUCUGGUGUCAGCCGCCGCGGUAAAACCAGCACCUCAAGUGGUCAGGAUGAUUAUUGGGCCUAAAGCAUCCGUAGCUCGUUUUGUAAGUUUUCGGUUAAAUCCAUACGCUUAACGUAUGGGCUGCCGGGAAUACUGCAUAACUAGGAAGUGGGAGAGGUAGACGGUACUCGGUAGGAAGGGGUAAAAUCCUUUGAUCUAUUGAUGACCACCUGUGGCGAAGGCGGUCUACCAGAACACGUUCGACGGUGAGGGAUGAAAGCUGGGGGAGCAAACCGGAUUAGAUACCCGGGUAGUCCCAGCUGUAAACUAUGCAAACUCAGUGAUGCAUUGGCUUGUGGCCAAUGCAGUGCUGCAGGGAAGCCGUUAAGUUUGCCGCCUGGGAAGUACGUACGCAAGUAUGAAACUUAAAGGAAUUGGCGGGGGAGCACCACAAGGGGUGAAGCCUGCGGU